Molecule: ribosomal RNA, 253 nt
Filed under: uncultured bacterium
Lineage: Bacteria
Description: partial 16S ribosomal RNA
Rfam family: Bacterial small subunit ribosomal RNA
Source: RNAcentral
UACGUAGGGGGCAAGCGUUGUCCGGAUUCAUUGGGCGUAAAGGGCGCGUAGGCGGCUCGGUAAGUAGGGGGUGAAAUCCUGCGGCUUAACCGCAGGGCUGCCUUCUAAACUGUCGAGCUCGAGCACGGUAGAGGCAGAUGGAAUUCCCGGUGUAGCGGUGGAAUGAGUAGAGAUCGGGAAGAACAUCAGUGGCGAAGGCGGUCUGCUGGGCCGUUGCUGACGCUGAGGCGCGACAGCGUGGGGAGCAAACAGG